AACGAACGCUGGCGGCAUGCCUAACACAUGCAAGUCGAACGAGAUCUUCGGGUCUAGUGGCGCACGGGUGCGUAACGCGUGGGAAUCUGCCCUUUGGUUCGGAAUAACAGUUGGAAACGACUGCUAAUACCGGAUGAUGACGAAAGUCCAAAGAUUUAUCGCCAGAGGAUGAGCCCGCGUAGGAUUAGCUAGUUGGUGUGGUAAAGGCACACCAAGGCGACGAUCCUUAGCUGGUCUGAGAGGAUGUUCAGCCACACUGGGACUGAGACACGGCCCAGACUCCUACGGGAGGCAGCAGUGGGGAAUAUUGGACAAUGGGCGAAAGCCUGAUCCAGCAAUGCCGCGUGAGUGAUGAAGGCCUUAGGGUUGUAGAGCUCUUUUACCCGGGAUGAUAAUGACAGUACCGGGAGAAUAAGCUCCGGCUAACUCCGUGCCAGCCGCCGCAGUAA
RNAcentral lists this ribosomal RNA (449 nucleotides) under uncultured bacterium. RNAcentral's name for it is "partial 16S ribosomal RNA". It matches the Rfam family "Bacterial small subunit ribosomal RNA", at positions 29 to 523 of the family's 1533-position model. The record is from RNAcentral.